RNAcentral lists this ribosomal RNA (280 nucleotides) under uncultured Staphylococcus sp. RNAcentral describes it as "partial 16S ribosomal RNA". It matches the Rfam family "Bacterial small subunit ribosomal RNA", at positions 81 to 353 of the family's 1533-position model. Lineage: Bacteria; Bacillati; Bacillota; Bacilli; Caryophanales; Staphylococcaceae. The record is from RNAcentral.
CUCCUUUGACGUUAGCGGCGGACGGGUGAGUAACACGUGGGUAACCUACCUAUAAGACUUGGAUAACUUCGGGAAACCGGAGCUAAUACCGGAUAAUAUUUCGAACCGCAUGGUUCGAUAGUGAAAGAUGGUUUUGCUAUCACUUAUAGAUGGACCCGCGCCGUAUUAGCUAGUUUGUAAGGUAACGGCUUACCAAGGCGACGAUACGUAGCCGACCUGAGAGGGUGAUCGGCCACACUGGAACUUAGACACGGUCCAGACUCCUACGGGAGGCAGCACC